Molecule: long non-coding RNA, 691 nt
Organism: Nycticebus coucang (slow loris)
Lineage: Eukaryota; Metazoa; Chordata; Mammalia; Primates; Lorisidae
Exons: 3
Source: RefSeq, a predicted model, not a curated record
AAGCGUGUCCAGGGUGCCAGGGCCACACAAAGGCAGGAAUUAACUAUUCUCCUUAGAGGGUCAGGACAAACUUUCCGGAAGAGAGGCUUGAAAUAGAAGAGUCUAAGAACAUGGGCCCUGUGUGACAAGAGGGUUCAGUGUCACAGCCUGAGCUGGGCUCGGAAAACUGCUCCCCACCCGGCCUUCAGGAGACACCAGCAAGGGCACAACCUCGACACCUACAUUUCCCCAAGGACUGGCUUGACCUCAGUGAGGAGAGGCCAGUCACGCCCACACUCUGACAGCCCCAAGGAUGAAGGAGGUCCUGGACUGCUGCUGCUCUCCCAAGAGUCACACUUUCAGUGGCAAGACCGUGUCUAGACUGUUGAGGAUCUGAAGGAAGAGGAUACAGCGGAGAUUUGUAGGGAAGCUCAUAUUCGCAGUCCAGGAAGACGUUCCUGCUUCCUCCCCCUGCAGGUGGGAGCUGGGAGGCUGACCAGCGGGUAGACCUGAAGUGCUUCAACACGGAAGCCUUCUUCAGGACCCUGCUCAGGCUGUCUCUGUCGGUGACUACCAAACACAGCCAGGCCAAGGAGGGGUAACUCUGGACAGUGCUUCCACCCAAGGCUGGAGAGACAAGUGGGGCUAGAAAUAGAGGCAUCUCCGAGAGAAUUGUUAUGGUACAUGGAGCUAGAGAAAUGCUUGGUCUGUA